Molecule: ribosomal RNA, 253 nt
Filed under: uncultured bacterium
Lineage: Bacteria
Description: partial 16S ribosomal RNA
Rfam family: Bacterial small subunit ribosomal RNA
Source: RNAcentral
UACGAAGGGGGCUAGCGUUGUUCGGAUUUACUGGGCGUAAAGCGCACGUAGGCGGAUCGUUAAGUCUGGGGUGAAAUCCUGGAGCUCAACUCCAGAACUGCCUUCGAUACUGGCGAUCUCGAGUCCGGAAGAGGUGAGUGGAACUCCUAGUGUAGAGGUGGAAUUCGUAGAUAUUAGGAAGAACACCAGUGGCGAAGGCGGCUCACUGGUCCGGUACUGGCGCUGAGGUGCGAAAGCGUGGGGAGCAAACAGG